UACGUAGGGCGCAAGCGUUAUCCGGAAUUAUUGGGCGUAAAGAGCUCGUAGGCGGUUUGUCGCGUCUGCCGUGAAAGUCCGGGGCUUAACCCCGGAUCUGCGGUGGGUACGGGCAGACUAGAGUGCAGUAGGGGAGACUGGAAUUCCUGGUGUAGCGGUGAAAUGCGCAGAUAUCAGGAGGAACACCGAUGGCGAAGGCAGGUCUCUGGGCUGUAACUGACGCUGAGGAGCGAAAGCAUGGGGGGCGAACAGG
RNAcentral lists this ribosomal RNA (253 nucleotides) under uncultured bacterium. RNAcentral's name for it is "partial 16S ribosomal RNA". It matches the Rfam family "Bacterial small subunit ribosomal RNA", at positions 524 to 776 of the family's 1533-position model. The record is from RNAcentral.